This 1840-nucleotide long non-coding RNA is filed under the name Manihot esculenta (cassava). RNAcentral describes it as "long non-coding RNA (MESC_LNC002475)". The record is from RNAcentral. Lineage: Eukaryota; Viridiplantae; Streptophyta; Magnoliopsida; Malpighiales; Euphorbiaceae.
CUUAAAUCUGGCUUGUCCAAAUGUCAAAUUCUCUCCCUUUGAUUGGACAUCUCCUCCUGUCUACUGAAGCUCGAACUCUCUAGCUGAACCAUUUUAUUUGGGAUAACAGAAUUCAGGAUCACCUCAGUUUGCUCAUUAUUAUCCUCCUGAAAAGGUGAGUAGGUGGUACUGAAGUAGGGUUCAGUUUCUCGGAAGGUAACAUCUAUGCUGACAAAGUAUUUUCUAAAUGGAGGGUGAUAAUACCUGUAUCCCUUCUGUGUUAGAGAAUACCCAAUAAACACACAUUUAAGAGCCUUGGAGUCUAACUUUCUUGUCGUCCUAGUAUGGACAAAGCAAAUACAUCCAAAUACUUUUGGUGGAACAAUAUAUGAAUUCUUCCCUUGUAUAACCUCCAAAGGACUCAUAAAGUUAAGGGCCUUGAGGAGCAUUCUAUUGAUAAGAUAAGCAGGUACAAGGAUUACAUCUUCCCAAUAUAUUUUGGGUAGGUUCAUGGUGAAUAUAAGAGAUGGAGCUAUCUCCAAUAGAUGUCUAUUUUUCCUUAAAGCAACGCCAUUUUGAGCACUAGUACAAGGACAACUCGUCUGGUGUACUAUUCCAUUAUUCUCCUAAUACGCAGAAAAACUACUAUCCAUGUAUUUUCUUCCAUUGUCAGUUCUCAAAAUUUUCACCUUAGUAUUAAAUUGAGUACAAAUCAUCUUAUAAAAGGAUUGAAAACAAGAAAAGACAUCACUUUUAGCUUUAAUCAAAUAGAUCCAAGUCAUUCGAGUGCAAUAAUCAAUAAAGGUAACAAACCAUCAAUUACCAAAUAAGGAGACAGUUUGAGUAGGCCCCAAACAUCAGAAUGAAUAGUCACAAAAGGAAUUUGGCUUUUAUUAUUACUCAAAGUAUAGGAGGUUCUAGUGUGCUUAGCUUAUUCACAGACAUCACAAAAUAAAGAACCAAACUGAGUUCUAGCAAAUAAACUAGGAUAAAGUUUUUCUAAGACAAAAAAUAAUAGGUUCCCUAACCGCCUGUGCCACUGUAUUAUUUUCUGAAUGACAUCUUAUUCUCUCCAAAACAAGCUUGAGAUAUUAGAGAACCUGGAUCACCUUCCAAUAUGUAUAAGCCAUCAUGCAACCUACCAUUGCCAAUUCUCUUCAAAUCCUGAAUAACACAAUGAUCAGGAAAAAAUUCAAUUUUACAGUUAAGAGCAUUGGCGAUAGCACUGACGGAUAAAAAGUUGAUAGAAAAGCGGAAAACAUGAAAGGCAAAUGAUAAUUUAAUAUUGGAUGCGAAAAUAACAGAACAUGUUCCGAAUAUGGGAGUAAAAGAGCCAUUAGCAAUUGUGACACUACCUUUGGUAAGAGAAGGAAAAUAGUUGAGAAAGCCUUUAGAAGAGCCUGUCAUGUGUCUAUUUGCACCAGAAUCAAUAAUCCAUGAAAUAUUAUUAGGAGAGAAAGUAUUACCUGAUUUUAUAAAAUUAGAUGUGGCAUCAAAGGACGAAGAGGUGUCAAUAUGAGAUAGGAGAUGCUUAAGACUCUGAAUUUCAUUAGGAGAAAGGAACUCAGCCGCUAUUGUCUCCUUAAAGGUCUCCUCCACAGUUUCUGCUAAAUUAGCUUGAGUUUUGGGGAUAUCUCGUUUCCUUCCACGGCCUCUAGUGGGACGACCAUGUAACUUCCAAUAAAUCUCCUUGGUAUGCCUUGGUUUCCCACAAUAGUCAUAGUACAAGUGAUCUUUCUCAGAAUUAGGGGGUUGCGGUGUGCUCAAACUAGUAGUCAACCUGGCCUUUUCAACUGGUGCAGUAUAGAGUAUAGUAUGUCGACGACUUUCUUUUUGUUGAAUAUGGACGUGGGCCUCUUCU